GACGAACGCUGGCGGCAUGCCUAACACAUGCAAGUCGAACGGAGAACUCCUUCGGGGGUUCUUAGUGGCGAACGGGUGAGUAACGCGUAGGCAACCUGCCCUUUGGAUGGGGACAACAUUCCGAAAGGAGUGCCUAAUACCGAAUGUGACGAUUUUACCGCAUGGUUUAAUCGUGAAAGAUGGCCUCUACAUGUAAGCUAUCGCCAAAGGAUGGGCCUGCGUCUGAUUAGCUAGUUGGUGGGGUAACGGCUCACCAAGGCGACGAUCAGUAGCCGGUCUGAGAGGAUGAACGGCCACAUUGGGACUGAGACACGGCCCAGACUCCUACGGGAGGCAGCAGUGGGAAUCUUCGCAAUGGACGAAAGUCUGACGGAGCAAUGCCGCGUGAGUGAGUGAAGGUUUUCGGACCGUAAAGCGUCUUUGUUAUGACGAAUGUGCAUGAUGUGAACAAUG
RNAcentral lists this ribosomal RNA (453 nucleotides) under uncultured bacterium. RNAcentral describes it as "bacterial SSU rRNA". It matches the Rfam family "Bacterial small subunit ribosomal RNA", at positions 28 to 466 of the family's 1533-position model. The record is from RNAcentral.